Molecule: ribosomal RNA, 346 nt
Filed under: uncultured soil bacterium
Lineage: Bacteria
Description: bacterial SSU rRNA
Rfam family: Bacterial small subunit ribosomal RNA
Source: RNAcentral
AGAGUGAACGCUGGCGGUAGGCCUAACACAUGCAAGUCGAACGGCAGCACAGUAGGAGCUUGCUCUUACGGGUGGCGAGUGGCGGACGGGUGAGGAAUACAUCGGAAUCUACCUUUUGGUGGGGGAUAACGUAGGGAAACUUACGCUAAUACCGCAUACGCCCUUCGGGGGAAAGCCGGGGACCAGCAAUGGCCUGGCGCUGAUAGAUGAGCCGAUGUCGGAUUAGCUAGUUGGUGAGGUAAUGGCUCACCAAGGCGGCGAUCCGUAGCUGGUCUGAGAGGAUGAUCAGCCACACUGGAACUGAGACACGGUCCAGACUCCGUACGGGAGGCAGCAGUGGGGAAUA